This 427-nucleotide long non-coding RNA is filed under the name Brassica napus (rape). Its description in RNAcentral is "long non-coding RNA (BNAP_LNC005914)". The record is from RNAcentral. Lineage: Eukaryota; Viridiplantae; Streptophyta; Magnoliopsida; Brassicales; Brassicaceae.
AAAACAGGAUGAUGAAAACGUUGAGGCUGAGGGUAGGUGGUGCAAGAUUGUAAAAUGAAGAGAACACAGAACUUCCGGUAAAUAAACCACCACUUCUGUAGACUUCUUGGUAAUCAUGCUUGUGUGAGAGAGAGAACAAAUCCAGAUGAAGAAACCAUAUUAAUCAUAUUAAUCGUAUUCAUUGUAUUAAUUUGGUUCUUCAUCUUAGAUGUGUAAGUAUAUUUUUGAUUUUUUUAAUAAUUUUUUACAUGUAAUUUUCAAAAGUAAAAUUUAGAAAAAAUAAAAAGAUGAUUGGUAUGAAGUUCCAUACAAAUCACACUAUAUAUAUAAAACAUAUUUUUUGUUUUAAAUUUAUAAAUGUUUUCUUUAUUAUAUAUAUGUUAUUUGAAAAUUUUAUAAAAGGAAACUUAAAUUAUAAAACAAAAAA